RNAcentral lists this ribosomal RNA (614 nucleotides) under Pantoea dispersa. RNAcentral's name for it is "bacterial SSU rRNA". It matches the Rfam family "Bacterial small subunit ribosomal RNA", at positions 67 to 670 of the family's 1533-position model. Lineage: Bacteria; Pseudomonadati; Pseudomonadota; Gammaproteobacteria; Enterobacterales; Erwiniaceae. The record is from RNAcentral.
CGGCAGCACAGAAGAGCUUGCUCUUUGGGUGGCGAGUGGCGGACGGGUGAGUAAUGUCUGGGAAACUGCCCGAUGGAGGGGGAUAACUACUGGAAACGGUAGCUAAUACCGCAUAACGUCGCAAGACCAAAGUGGGGGACCUUCGGGCCUCACACCAUCGGAUGUGCCCAGAUGGGAUUAGCUAGUAGGUGGGGUAAUGGCUCACCUAGGCGACGAUCCCUAGCUGGUCUGAGAGGAUGACCAGCCACACUGGAACUGAGACACGGUCCAGACUCCUACGGGAGGCAGCAGUGGGGAAUAUUGCACAAUGGGCGCAAGCCUGAUGCAGCCAUGCCGCGUGUAUGANGAAGGCCUUCGGGUUGUAAAGUACUUUCAGCGGGGAGGAAGGCGGUGAGGUUAAUAACCUUGCCGAUUGACGUUACCCGCAGAAGAAGCACCGGCUAACUCCGUGCCAGCAGCCGCGGUAAUACGGAGGGUGCAAGCGUUAAUCGGAAUUACUGGGCGUANAGCGCACGCAGGCGGUCUGUUAAGUCAGAUGUGAAAUCCCCGGGCUUAACCUGGGAACUGCAUUUGAAACUGGCAGGCUUGAGUCUCGUAGAGGGGGGUAGAAUUCC